Molecule: ribosomal RNA, 365 nt
Filed under: uncultured eukaryote
Lineage: Eukaryota
Description: partial small subunit ribosomal RNA
Source: RNAcentral
UCUGUGCCUGCUAUAUCGAUUGCCUGCGACUAUCCGGAACGCCCAAAACUGCCAGACGGCACAACUGCGGCAAAGGAAGACAUGAUCGCCGCACAGUCAUCGGUCAAGAGCUUUCUCGCUGCUGUCGACGAAUAUCUAACCUGCAUUGAGCAGGAAGAAGCAGCGGCAAUCGCAGCCAUGGAUAGUCCCGACGAGGAGACCCUCAAGCGUCGGGACGACCUGUUGGCGAAGCGCUUCGAUGCCGCCAAUGAAGAGAAGUUUCUGUUUGGCGAACAGUGGAAUCAGCAGGUGCGAGCGUAUAACGCUGCGGGAACCGCGAACAAAUCAGAGUAAUUUCGACCAGCGGUACUUGCGAAAGGCGGGUC